This 240-nucleotide unclassified non-coding RNA is filed under the name soil metagenome. RNAcentral describes it as "partial contains 5.8S ribosomal RNA, internal transcribed spacer 2, and large subunit ribosomal RNA". The record is from RNAcentral.
AACGCACGAGACCUGCGGACCUGCGGAGGGAUCAUUACCGAGUGAGGGCCCGCCGGGUCCAACCUCCCACCCGUGUCUAUCGUACCUUGUUGCUUCGGCAGGCCCGCCUCACGGCCGCCGGGGGCUUCGCCCCGGGCCCGCGCCUGCCGGAGACAAUCUCGAACGCUGUCUGAAGUUUGCAGUCUGAGCGAAUAGCUAAAUUAGUUAAAACUUUCAACAACGGAUCUCUAGAUCGGAAGA